GUUGAUGGGAAUGUUGUUUGGCUCGAGGCCAUCUAGGUUUGGUUUUUGAAAAAUUUUAAGACAGAGAUAUAUUAGCCCUAUAUGAUCUCGGACCAGGCUUCAUUCCCGUCAGC
Molecule: microRNA precursor, 113 nt
Filed under: Cephalotus follicularis
Lineage: Eukaryota; Viridiplantae; Streptophyta; Magnoliopsida; Oxalidales; Cephalotaceae
Description: mir-166 microRNA precursor family
Rfam family: mir-166 microRNA precursor family
About the family: This family represents the plant microRNA (miRNA) precursor mir-166. Animal miRNAs are transcribed as ~70nt precursors and subsequently processed by the Dicer enzyme to give a ~22nt product.
Source: Rfam by way of RNAcentral